This 301-nucleotide ribosomal RNA is filed under the name uncultured bacterium. Its description in RNAcentral is "partial 16S ribosomal RNA". It matches the Rfam family "Bacterial small subunit ribosomal RNA", at positions 509 to 807 of the family's 1533-position model. The record is from RNAcentral.
CAGCAGCCGCGGGAAUACGUAGGGUGCAAGCGUUAAUCGGAAUUACUGGGCGUAAAGCGUGCGCAGGCGGUUAUAUAAGACAGAUGUGAAAUCCCCGGGCUCAACCUGGGAACUGCAUUUGUGACUGUAUAGCUAGAGUACGGCAGAGGGGGAUGGAAUUCCGCGUGUAGCAGUGAAAUGCGUAGAUAUGCGGAGGAACACCGAUGGCGAAGGCAAUCCCCUGGGCCUGUACUGACGCUCAUGCACGAAAGCGUGGGGAGCAAACAGGAUUAGAUACCUCCGUAGUCCCUGUCUCUUAUAC